GGUCUCACUAAGAACAAGAUUUAAAGUCAGACGAGUUCCAAAGAUACUUCCUGAAGAGACUCUUGGAUUUUGCCUGUGACAGCCCUCCCCAGGACGAGGAAGGCAGCCUCCCCUUGGGACAGCACUCUACGGACUUCUCAGUGUUGGAAAGAGCUGGGACUCCUACAGGGAAUUCCUACUCUUCAUAUUUGUUCUCUGCUAAACCAGAGGAGACACAUCUUGCUCUAGAGUUCCCCAGAACCUGCUCUUCUGGGUCAGCCUCCUGCUGUCUUAUUCUUCCAUCUUUUCUCCACCUAUGCCCAAAGCACAACCAAGGUCACUUUGUUUCUUGAGCUGAGUUCACGCUGGAGCAUUCUUGACCCAGAGAGACACCAUUUUAUAAUGGAAGGCACUUCUUGAGAACCAGAGAGACCUCAUUUCUCAUGAUCUCACUGUGCAGGACUCAGUUUUUAAUACUACAAUGUGAAUUACGAAUCUCCAGGAGGAGAAUAUAAUAUGCGCUGUUUCCGAAGCUCAUCUGACUACAAACUGUGUUUUAAAGAAUGUCUGGCAAUGCAACAGAGCUUCUAUUUCCUGGCAGAUGGACCAUGAGCCUGGGCCAGAGAAUCUGGUGCUGAGCUGCUGCAGUCAGCUGAGCUGCUUACGUAACCUGAAGGCUCUCCUGGGAGGACCAUGCUGUGAAAGGCAGCUCUGGUUUGCUUCCCCUCAGAUAAUGUUUAUAUGGCCUUUUGGUCAGAGAAGAAGCAAAGAUAAUCCCCCUGACCCUCAGGUUGAGGAGACACAGAUCGGCCUUUGCUGAGGGUAGCACAGCAAAUGAGGAUGCAUCUCCCAGCAGGGUCAAAUGCAAACAAAAAUGCUGUGAGACGCAGGACAUCAGGGGCAUCCCAGGGCCUGAAUAUUCUUACUCUGACCAGAGCCGGCUCCGGGCAGCUGUCAGCCAUGCCUUAAAAAUCAGAAGUCUGCACACUUUUUCCGUAAAGGGCCAGGUAUUAAAUCUUUCAGGUUCAUGGGCCACAUGUGGUCUCAGAUGCAACUACCCAGCACUGCCAUUGUGGCAUGGAAGCAGCCAUAGAGACUUUGUAAAUGAAUGGGCACGGUGGCAUUCCAAUAAAACUUCAUUUACAAAAACAA
Molecule: long non-coding RNA, 1131 nt
Filed under: Homo sapiens (human)
Lineage: Eukaryota; Metazoa; Chordata; Mammalia; Primates; Hominidae
Description: HSALNT0309624
Source: RNAcentral